RNAcentral lists this ribosomal RNA (230 nucleotides) under uncultured microorganism. RNAcentral describes it as "partial 16S ribosomal RNA". It matches the Rfam family "Bacterial small subunit ribosomal RNA", at positions 524 to 753 of the family's 1533-position model. The record is from RNAcentral.
UACGUAGGGUGCGAGCGUUACUCGGAAUUACUGGGCGUAAAGCGUGCGCAGGCGGUGCUGUAAGACAGGCGUGAAAUCCCCGGGCUUAACCUGGGAAUGGCGCUUGUGACUGCAGUGCUGGAGUGUGGCAGAGGGGGAUGGAAUUCCGCGUGUAGCAGUGAAAUGCGUAGAUAUGCGGAGGAACACCGAUGGCGAAGGCAAUCCCCUGGGCCUGCACUGACGCUCAUGCA